CGUUAUUUUACUUACUCCGUGAAUCGGAG
Molecule: small nuclear RNA, 29 nt
Filed under: Arabidopsis thaliana (thale cress)
Lineage: Eukaryota; Viridiplantae; Streptophyta; Magnoliopsida; Brassicales; Brassicaceae
Description: snRNA_09380
Source: RNAcentral